This 1452-nucleotide ribosomal RNA is filed under the name Lactiplantibacillus plantarum. RNAcentral describes it as "bacterial SSU rRNA". It matches the Rfam family "Bacterial small subunit ribosomal RNA". The record is from RNAcentral. Lineage: Bacteria; Bacillati; Bacillota; Bacilli; Lactobacillales; Lactobacillaceae.
GGCUAUACAUGCAAGUCGAACGAACUCUGGUAUUGAUUGGUGCUUGCAUCAUGAUUUACAUUUGAGUGAGUGGCGAACUGGUGAGUAACACGUGGGAAACCUGCCCAGAAGCGGGGGAUAACACCUGGAAACAGAUGCUAAUACCGCAUAACAACUUGGACCGCAUGGUCCGAGCUUGAAAGAUGGCUUCGGCUAUCACUUUUGGAUGGUCCCGCGGCGUAUUAGCUAGAUGGUGGGGUAACGGCUCACCAUGGCAAUGAUACGUAGCCGACCUGAGAGGGUAAUCGGCCACAUUGGGACUGAGACACGGCCCAAACUCCUACGGGAGGCAGCAGUAGGGAAUCUUCCACAAUGGACGAAAGUCUGAUGGAGCAACGCCGCGUGAGUGAAGAAGGGUUUCGGCUCGUAAAACUCUGUUGUUAAAGAAGAACAUAUCUGAGAGUAACUGUUCAGGUAUUGACGGUAUUUAACCAGAAAGCCACGGCUAACUACGUGCCAGCAGCCGCGGUAAUACGUAGGUGGCAAGCGUUGUCCGGAUUUAUUGGGCGUAAAGCGAGCGCAGGCGGUUUUUUAAGUCUGAUGUGAAAGCCUUCGGCUCAACCGAAGAAGUGCAUCGGAAACUGGGAAACUUGAGUGCAGAAGAGGACAGUGGAACUCCAUGUGUAGCGGUGAAAUGCGUAGAUAUAUGGAAGAACACCAGUGGCGAAGGCGGCUGUCUGGUCUGUAACUGACGCUGAGGCUCGAAAGUAUGGGUAGCAAACAGGAUUAGAUACCCUGGUAGUCCAUACCGUAAACGAUGAAUGCUAAGUGUUGGAGGGUUUCCGCCCUUCAGUGCUGCAGCUAACGCAUUAAGCAUUCCGCCUGGGGAGUACGGCCGCAAGGCUGAAACUCAAAGGAAUUGACGGGGGCCCGCACAAGCGGUGGAGCAUGUGGUUUAAUUCGAAGCUACGCGAAGAACCUUACCAGGUCUUGACAUACUAUGCAAAUCUAAGAGAUUAGACGUUCCCUUCGGGGACAUGGAUACAGGUGGUGCAUGGUUGUCGUCAGCUCGUGUCGUGAGAUGUUGGGUUAAGUCCCGCAACGAGCGCAACCCUUAUUAUCAGUUGCCAGCAUUAAGUUGGGCACUCUGGUGAGACUGCCGGUGACAAACCGGAGGAAGGUGGGGAUGACGUCAAAUCAUCAUGCCCCUUAUGACCUGGGCUACACACGUGCUACAAUGGAUGGUACAACGAGUUGCGAACUCGCGAGAGUAAGCUAAUCUCUUAAAGCCAUUCUCAGUUCGGAUUGUAGGCUGCAACUCGCCUACAUGAAGUCGGAAUCGCUAGUAAUCGCGGAUCAGCAUGCCGCGGUGAAUACGUUCCCGGGCCUUGUACACACCGCCCGUCACACCAUGAGAGUUUGUAACACCCAAAGUCGGUGGGGUAACCUUUUAGGAACCAGCCGCCUAAGGUG